GAUCUUAUAGCUCAGUUGGUAGAGCAUAACACUUUUAAUGUUAGGGCCAUGGGUUCGAGUCCCAUUAGGAUCA
RNAcentral lists this transfer RNA (73 nucleotides) under Crassvirales sp. RNAcentral's name for it is "tRNA-Lys". It matches the Rfam family "tRNA". From Rfam's summary of the family: Transfer RNA (tRNA) molecules are approximately 80 nucleotides in length. Their secondary structure includes four short double-helical elements and three loops (D, anti-codon, and T loops). Further hydrogen bonds mediate the characteristic L-shaped molecular structure. tRNAs have two regions of fundamental functional importance: the anti-codon, which is responsible for specific mRNA codon recognition, and the 3' end, to which the tRNAs corresponding amino acid is attached (by aminoacyl-tRNA synthetases). tRNAs cope with the degeneracy of the genetic code in two manners: having more than one tRNA (with a specific anti-codon) for a particular amino acid; and 'wobble' base-pairing, i.e. permitting non-standard base-pairing at the 3rd anti-codon position. Lineage: Duplodnaviria; Heunggongvirae; Uroviricota; Caudoviricetes; Crassvirales. The record is from RNAcentral.